GAUGAACGCUGGCGGCGUGCCUAAUACAUGCAAGUCGAGCGAACAGAUGAGGAGCUUGCUCCUCUGACGUUAGCGGCGGACGGGUGAGUAACACGUGGAUAACCUACCUAUAAGACUGGGAUAACUUCGGGAAACCGGAGCUAAUACCGGAUAAUAUAUUGAACCGCAUGGUUCAAUAGUGAAAGACGGUUUUGCUGUCACUUAUAGAUGGAUCCGCGCCGUAUUAGCUAGUUGGUAAGGUAACGGCUUACCAAGGCAACGAUGCGUAGCCGAUCUGAGAGGGUGAUCGGCCACACUGGAACUGAGACACGGUCCAGACUCCUACGGGAGGCAGCAGUAGGGAAUCUUCCGCAAUGGGCGAAAGCCUGACGGAGCAACGCCGCGUGAGUGAUGAAGGUCUUCGGAUCGUAAAACUCUGUUAUUAGGGAAGAACAAAUGUGUAAGUAACUAUGCACGUCUUGACGGUACCUAAUCAGAAAGCCACGGCUAACUACGUG
RNAcentral lists this ribosomal RNA (497 nucleotides) under uncultured bacterium. RNAcentral's name for it is "partial 16S ribosomal RNA". It matches the Rfam family "Bacterial small subunit ribosomal RNA", at positions 28 to 507 of the family's 1533-position model. The record is from RNAcentral.